RNAcentral lists this ribosomal RNA (250 nucleotides) under uncultured bacterium. RNAcentral describes it as "partial 16S ribosomal RNA". It matches the Rfam family "Bacterial small subunit ribosomal RNA", at positions 959 to 1209 of the family's 1533-position model. The record is from RNAcentral.
ACGCGAAGAACCUUACCAGCGUUUGACAUCCCGCGCUAUCACGAGAGAUCGUGAGUUCCCUUCGGGGACGCGGUGACAGGUGCUGCAUGGCUGUCGUCAGCUCGUGUCGUGAGAUGUUGGGUUAAGUCCCCGCAACGAGCGCAACCCUCGUCCUUAGUUGCCAUCAUUUAGUUGGGCACUCUAAGGAAACCGCCGGUGAUAAGCCGGAGGAAGGUGGGGAUGACGUCAAGUCCUCAUGGCCCUUACACGC